This 323-nucleotide ribosomal RNA is filed under the name Thalassiosira minuscula. Its description in RNAcentral is "partial Bacterial small subunit ribosomal RNA". It matches the Rfam family "Bacterial small subunit ribosomal RNA", at positions 1069 to 1393 of the family's 1533-position model. Lineage: Eukaryota; Bacillariophyta; Thalassiosirophyceae; Thalassiosirales; Thalassiosiraceae. The record is from RNAcentral.
GAGAUGUUGGGUUAAGUCCCGUAACGAGCGCAACCCUUGUCCUUAGUUGCCAGCAUUUAGUUGGGCACUCUAAGGAGACUGCCGGUGACAAACCGGAGGAAGGUGGGGAUGACGUCAAGUCAUCAUGGCCCUUAUGGCCUGGGCUACACACGUGCUACAAUGGCAAGUACAAAGGGUUGCUAACUCGCGAGAGUGUGCUAAUCCCAUAAAGCUUGUCGUAGUCCGGAUCGCAGUCUGCAACUCGACUGCGUGAAGUCGGAAUCGCUAGUAAUCGCGGAUCAGAAUGCCGCGGUGAAUACGUUCCCGGGCCUUGUACACACCGC